UACGUAGGCAGCAAACGUUGUUCGGAAUUACUGGGCGUAAAGAGUGUGUAGGCGGUUCUGUAAGUUUGGUGUGAAAUCUCCCGGCUUAACUGGGAGGGUGCGCCGAAAACUGCAAGGCUUGAGUGCUGGAGAGGAUAGCGGAAUUCCUGGUGUAGCGGUGAAAUGCGUAGAUAUCAGGAGGAACACCGAUGGCGAAGGCAGUGGUCUGGGCCGAUACUGACGCUGAGGAGCGAAAGCGUGGGGAGCGAACAGG
This 253-nucleotide ribosomal RNA is filed under the name uncultured bacterium. Its description in RNAcentral is "partial 16S ribosomal RNA". It matches the Rfam family "Bacterial small subunit ribosomal RNA", at positions 524 to 776 of the family's 1533-position model. The record is from RNAcentral.